GGCCCAGUGGCGGAUGGUCCGCAUCUGCAUGCAAUUUGUAACCAGAGUGGCUUCUGUGCAGAGAAUGCUCGUUCGACUCGAGCCUGGGCCA
Mycena rebaudengoi is the source of this 91-nucleotide non-coding RNA. NCBI's taxonomy places the organism in Eukaryota, Fungi, Basidiomycota, Agaricomycetes, Agaricales, Mycenaceae. The record is from the annotation of a GenBank genome assembly.